UAAUACGUAGGGGGCGAGCGUUGUCCGGAUUUAUUGGGCGUAAAGGGCUCGUAGGUGGCUUGGCAAGUCGGACGUAAAAGUCCAGGGCUCAACCCUGGGAUGCGUUCGAUACUGUCAGGCUAGAGGCCGGUAGGGGGAUCUGGAAUUCCUGGUGUAGCGGUGAAAUGCGCAGAUAUCAGGAGGAACACCGGUGGCGAAGGCGGGAUCCUGGGCCGGACCUGACACUGAUGAGCGAAAGCUGGGGGAGCGAACAGGAUUAGAUACCCUGGUAGUCCCAGCCGUAAACGAUGGGUGCUAGGUGUGGGAGGCUAUCGACGUCUUCCGUGCCGCAGCUAACGCAUUAAGCACCCCGCCUGGGGAGUACGGCCGCAAGGCUA
This 377-nucleotide ribosomal RNA is filed under the name uncultured bacterium. Its description in RNAcentral is "bacterial SSU rRNA". It matches the Rfam family "Bacterial small subunit ribosomal RNA", at positions 521 to 896 of the family's 1533-position model. The record is from RNAcentral.